UGGUGGAGUGAUUUGUCUGGUUAAUUCCGUUAACGAGCGAGACCUCGACCUGCUAAAUAGUCUGGCGAAUGAUCAUUUAUUCGUGCAAACUUCUUAGAGGGACUAUCGGUGUUUAGCCGAUGGAAGUUCGAGGCAAUAACA
This 141-nucleotide ribosomal RNA is filed under the name uncultured eukaryote. RNAcentral's name for it is "partial 18S ribosomal RNA". It matches the Rfam family "Eukaryotic small subunit ribosomal RNA", at positions 1299 to 1458 of the family's 1831-position model. The record is from RNAcentral.